Long non-coding RNA from Passer domesticus (house sparrow), 5442 nucleotides. RefSeq lists it as uncharacterized. The transcript is spliced from 7 exons. The record is from RefSeq and is a predicted model, not a curated record. Lineage: Eukaryota; Metazoa; Chordata; Aves; Passeriformes; Passeridae.
CCGGCAACCUCUACUGCUUUACCUGUAGCUAUAGAUGUUUCUUCAUGGCAACCACCUGUGCUUCCAAACCACAUCACCAAGAUCAUUGCAGAAGAAACCUGUAAUUUUAGGCUGAGGCAUUAAGACCUAUUGAUUGCUGCAGAACAGUGAUGGAAGACAGUGGACAGUCAGAAAACAGCCUCGUGCAGGAAACAGCCAGGACCACAAUGAAGAUUGUGGCCAAAGAACAAGUUGCUGUCACAGAAUAGCCCUACCAUAUCCCACAGGUCAAACAGGUUUCCUCUGAAGACCUGUUGAAGUGGAAACUCCUUUGGCAGCCUUGCAGCUUUUAUGGCUCCAGGCCUAUCCAUACCUCCCCAGGAGUGGUUGGACUGUGCAGCUGUGACUCGUGCUGUGACAUGCUGUGACUCUUGGGGUGUCCUGUGCAGGGUCAGAAGCUGGACUUGAUGAUCCUGGUGUGUCCCUUCUGGCUCAGGAUAUUGUAUGACUCGAUGACUCCAAACCCACACCUCACAGCACAGGAAAUGAGAAUAGUGAUCUGAUUUCUUGGCCAAGCCUUGACAGACUGCCUUCAGAAGGAGAAGAUGGGAAACUGAUUUUUAACAGUGACUCAGUGUCAUCAUCUUCAGCCCAGCCCCGACUCAAACUAUCAAACAACCUGUACUGAAUAAGGAAGAAAUCUGCACCCCAGGUUUCCUGCAUGCAAGCAAGAAGCAACAAAAAACCCCUGAAGUUCUAUAUAACUGCAUUCCUGAAGACUUUCCAGAUUGUAUUACUAUGUAGUCAAUGGUCCAGAAAGAAAAUGAGUAUAAGGAGAAUUUAUGAACCUUGUGCAAAAAGAGAGAUGAGUGAAUUGCACUUUUAUUUCACAUUAAUUCCCUCUUUUUUGUCAUCCUCCUGUUAACUGUACACAGAAAAGUUUGAACUUGAUCUUAAUGCCAAAGUAGAAAAGAUGGGUUUUAUAAUUCAAAAUAUGUUGUGCAGUUAAGAACUACUAGUUCCUAUCCAUUUCCAUUCAUGAACAAAGGAAAUAUAUACUAUAGGCUGUAAUUCAAGACUCAAAGGCAUGGGAGGGAUCCCAAAUUUACUUUGCUUUGCUUUGUCCAGUUGCUGCCUUACAUCUGACCUUCCUCACAUCACAGUCUUUCCACCAUAUUCCUGGGUGCUACUGCCCAUGUUUUCAUUGCAGAAAAUAUAGAAAUCUUACAUUGGCCAAUCUUUCUCUCUGUGCAGUUCACAUCUAAAGGCCAUCAUGCACCACAGUCAUAUGGAUUUGACUAUUUUUUGAGUUAAAUAUGCUUUUGAGUGGAAAAAGAGAGGGGCAUCUCUCUGCAAAGUGGACAAACUCUUGCAGCUCUGAGGCAACUCUUGCAAAGAGUUGCACAAAAAAAAAAAAAAGCUGAAAGCUAAGUUUUAUGCCUGAGGGACAGUGACCAGGGUAACAGGGUAAUUUUCUUCUGCUCUCUUUGUGCAUCCAGUAUAAACACAUCUGUAUUUGUUGGACUUUGAGGAUGAGUAAGUUGCAUAAGUGGAGGAUCUGCUCUACCCAAGAUUAAAGCAAUAGGUCCUGGUAUUUUGACAAAGCCAGUCAACAGCAAACCUAGACUUUUCAGACCAGGUUACCUGGACUUAAGGUAUUUGAAGUGAGUCAACCAGACAGAGAACACUGUUGAGUCUGGUCCUUUAAUGGGGAGUAAUUCACAUGGCAACACCUUGGACUGUUGUCAACAUUUCUUCAGUACUGAAUCAGCCUGGAGCAGCAGCUGCAAGAGUACUCAACUUAUCAGAAAGCACAUUUUGAUGUCUACCUAAAUGGGAGAAUACAUUUAAAAACUUAGGUGGAACUACAAAAAUCUGGUCCCUUCACAAUGCAUCAUUCAACCUUUCAAGUGUCUCCAUGUCCCUCCCAACUCCUAGACCUACCUGCAGCUGAAUAGAAAGAGUGAAAUCACCUAAGAUGGCAGAGCUGUUCAAGCCUUGCUGUUGUCUGAGAGGAAGCAGAAAUUACUUCUCUGUCUGCCUGUCCCCUGCUACAGAGACCUGCCUCCUCUUUUGCAGUUCUGUGGGAGCUCGGUGAGCUCGGGGUGCUGCACUGGGAUCUCUGUUCACACAAAGCAGAGUGGUGCUGUGCCAUGGCCUGCUGGGAUAACUCUGCCAUCAAGUGAAGGAGCAGACAGCCUUUUAUAGACCCACUGCUGACCUUGUUAAAACCAUAAGGAUGUUCUCUUCCCCCUAAAUGCAUGGUCCGGAAAAUAUUUGUGCUCAUGCAAAUUUUGGAAGAGAUGUCAAAAGGAGGAUAUUUUUUGUAAGAUGAUGACAUAUUUUUGCAAUUCUACUGCUUUUAAGAUGCCAUACAUUGAAAUGAAACCUUGUAAAUUUUCUAAUGAUACUUGUAAAGUUUGUUAGUGUAAUACCUUUAUCAAUUUUCAGGUUAUGCUGGUGCUUUUUUGAAAACAACAACAAACAUGAUAAAAUGCAGUUUGUUAAAAAUUGAAGUGUUUCUUAGAAAUUUUCUCCUAAAAAAUAAAUUAAAGUCUUAGAGCACAUUUUCUGUUUUCUUAUGUCAAGGCAUUUCAUAAAUGUCAAAAUAGCUUUUCUUUAAUCUAUAGCGUACAUUAAUGUGCUGUAUGUGUAUAGAAAUUAUGUUACUAGAUGGUUAAUGUAACACCCUUUGAGUUUUAUAAUGAAAGGAGAACAAAAUCUUUUCAUGAUGUUGGCAAAUACUUAGAUAUUAUUGAAAUUACUACUUUUAGGGUUUAAUUUAAUGGUAAAUUUUUCAUUUCAAGGUAAAUAUAUGAUUUUUGUGACUUUUGACUUGGAUAUGAAUUAAUAUAUUUCUACUAACUUCUAGGAAUGUCUUCAGAACACAAAUCGUGUUUAAUGAGUUUUCUUCACCUUUUUGUAAAGUAACAACACACAUUUUCCCACAAGAUGGCAGAGGCGAGUUGUGCAAUUUAUGGGCAAAUAUGUAUGGAGACACGUGAAAAUCUGAAAAUAGAAGAUACAGGCUCAAUAAACCAACAACAAAACAGAGUAUCAUGUAUUAUAUUUGCAAAGAAUGACCAUUUCCAAAGAUGCUGGUGCAGAGUGAGUGGAGACGUGGUGGAAACCAUCAGUGGUGCAAACACAGGAGACAAGGCCAGCUCGCAGCAGCUCAGGAGCUGUCCACAUGAGUUCAGCCCUUCCUAAGUCACGGCUCUCUAUGAGGGAUGGUAGAUUUACUCAAGGUAGUGUAAAACCUUCCUGUGAGAUUUCCAUGAGGAAAUGGUUCAUCCAAAUGGAUCCCAGCCGAGGUUAAGGAUGGCCAUUCAGAAAGCAUGGCUUGGCCCCAUCCAGCACAUGCACUUGUUGAUAAAGAGUCACUCCUGGAUACCCGUGUCUUUCCAAAACAGGAGAGAGGCAGCUGAGGGUGUCUGCUCUACAAUGUAGCAGGGAAUUCUGGCUGAGACAGAUUCCUGGUCUUUUCUGCUGACAUUGUCGAGUCAGACCAAGUUCCUACUUUUUCAGAUGGGCUCCCAGCAAGGUGAUAUCACCUCGCCCUUCACAGGCAAGGAGAGCUGCCACACAGCCUCAAAGCCAGCAGUGCAGCAGACAGCGGGGAUGGACUGACGCUCUCAGCUGCUGUAGGGGGAACAAGAAGAAGCAAGACUUAUUGCAGUUUCAGGUUCCCACUGCUGUUUGGAUGUCCCAAAGAAUGGGAAGAGUCUGAUUCCCAAAACACUACCAUCAUUUGUACAAAUCAGUUUCACAGAAGUAAAAUUCAACUUGGCUUCUGAAAUCAGUUGUCUGCAAAAACAACCAGAGAAGCUGAAAUUAAAAAGAAUUUGCCUAAAAUGAGUUUUGAGUUUGCUUCUGUUGUGGUAUCAUCUUUUUGAUGUUGAAUUAAUCUUAUCCAAAUACAGGAUUCCAAAUGGAAGCCACUAAUGCUUAACAAUAAAUAAGACAUAAUCUCACCUUUUCCAAGUGUUCUCGACCAUGCUCUGAAGAUUUUGAAAGUUUUACCUCUGUUGUGAGUUGGUUUAAACUUUUGACCGCAUUGUCACAGAAGGAAAAUAUACUCAUAAAAAAGUCACUAUAAACUUUCAUUUGGAAAACCUUUUUUAAAAAAAUCUAUAUUCCUUACAAACCAUUACCACUUUUAGAAAGUACAACCAAAGGAUAUAGGAAUAGGAAUGACUUUUGUGCUUUUUAAUUUUUCUAACUGUGACAAGAAAGUGUAGGUCACAUAUGAAGUUUCAGGUUGUUUGCACAGUCUCACAAGCACGUGGUGGCUUGUAGUUGAGCACAACAGAACAAAUGGAGUUGGCAUUUUCUUUCAAAUUCCUGGUGAGAAAUCUGGAUUACAAAUUGAAGGGAAUGGGCUUAAAAUAGAUGGUAUAACAAAUUGUUAUUUUUUAAAAAUCUUGCAUGCACAAACAAGAGCAGAUAUUGCUUAGCUUUCCACAUUUUUUACACAUUGGAGAAUAAUAUUAUUGUGUGUAUUAUCUUGUAUGUAUUACUCUGUAAAAUCCCAAAAAAGCAAUAUGCAAAAGUGUCAAUAAUUCAUGUUUGUAUAUCACUUGGUUUUGGAAAGAGGAAGGCUGAAUCUGGGAUGUAAGUCAGAUUCAUAUAAAGAAAAUAAACAAAUUAAUUUAAGCCAGCUUUCUCUUUUGAAAAUGAAAUAAAAUAUAUUAUUUCUUAUGCAUUUUAUUUAUCUCAGCAUCUCUUAGUUUGGGCCAUUUACAAGUAACAUUAAAGUAUUUCAUGAUAUUUGGCUCCAAAAAGACGUUGGAAAGUGAGUUUACUCUACAUUUCAUCAGAAACAAGGAUUCUGGGAUGAUUGCAUUUUCAACUAUUCUGUUGAUAAUAGGUCAGAAAAAGAUCUGAUCCGUUCUUCUAGCUCUUUUCAUCUACUAAUUGGAAAAGAAUAACAGUAUUUUGUUUACAUAAUGCUACAAGUAGCUCUCUGAACACAAACAAGGAAUGAAGAUAUCAGUACUUUGUCAUUACUUUCUAAAUUAGAAGUUUUACAAAUAGUGCAAACUAAAGAAGGAGGAAAAAAGAUUGAAGUUCAUAUUACAGUGGAUUCAACAGUUCUGUCUGACUUUCGGUUUACAGCUGAAGUAAAAUGUUUUCUCUAUCCUUCAGGUACUUUCAGAAUUUCAGCCUGGCUUAUGUAUGAAUGUAUGAGUUUUUCCAAGAUCUAUCUUUCUCUGAUUGAGAGGCUUCACAUUUUUGUUUAUUGCUUACAGGUUGAAGAAAUUCACUUCUAUAUUUGGAAACUUCAUGAGGUUCUGUAAAAAGACGGAGCAAAAAGACACCGCUCCAGUAGAGCUUAUUGCCCUCUCUGAGAAAUGAUGCAUGGAACACUCUUUUAAAAGAAAUUUAAAUAAAAUGUAUAAUUAAAAUUCAGGUAUAAAUUCACCUUUUUCCUUGGUUAUUUUGAGCAAAGUAUGUCAAUUU